AGUGAACGCUGGCGGUAGGCCUAACACAUGCAAGUCGAACGGCAGCACAGUAAGAGCUUGCUCUUACGGGUGGCGAGUGGCGGACGGGUGAGGAAUACAUCGGAAUCUACUUUUUCGGGGGGGAUAACGUAGGGGGAGUUACGCUAAUACCGCAUACGACCUACGGGUGAGAGGGGGGGAUCUUCGGACCUUGCGCGAUUGGAUGAGCCGCUGUCGGAUUAGCUAGUGGGGUGGGUAAAGGCCCACCAAGGCGACGAUCCGUAGCUGGUCUGAGAGGAUGGUCAGCCACACUGGAACUGAGACAGGGACCAGACGCCUACGGGAGGCAGCAGUGGGGAAUGUGGGACAAUAGGGGGAAGCCUGACACAGCGAUACCGCGUGGGUGAAGAAGGCCUUCGGUUUGUAAAGCCCUUUUGUUGGGAAAGAAAAGCAGCAGGUUAAUACCACGCUGUUCUGACGGUACCCAAAGAAUAAGCACCGGCUAACUUCGUG
RNAcentral lists this ribosomal RNA (492 nucleotides) under uncultured bacterium. RNAcentral describes it as "partial 16S ribosomal RNA". It matches the Rfam family "Bacterial small subunit ribosomal RNA", at positions 30 to 507 of the family's 1533-position model. The record is from RNAcentral.